RNAcentral lists this ribosomal RNA (389 nucleotides) under uncultured bacterium. RNAcentral describes it as "bacterial SSU rRNA". It matches the Rfam family "Bacterial small subunit ribosomal RNA", at positions 28 to 413 of the family's 1533-position model. The record is from RNAcentral.
GACGAACGCUGGCGGCGUGCUUAACACAUGCAAGUCGAGCGGUAAGGCCCUUUCGGGGGUACGACGAGCGGCGAACGGGUGAGUAACACGUGGGUGACCUGCCCUCAGCUCUGGGAUAAGCCUGGGAAACCGGGUCUAAUACUGGAUAUGACUCCAUGACGCAUGUUGGUGGGGUGGAAAGCCUUGUGCGGCUGAGGAUGGGCCCGCGGCCUAUCAGCUUGUUGGUGGGGUGAGGCCUACCAAGGCGACGACGGGUAGCCGGCCUGAGAGGACGGCCAGCCACAAUGGCACUGAAACACGGGCCAUACUCCUACGGGAGGGCAGCAGUGGGGAAGUUUUGUCGCAAUAGGGCGAAAGCCUGACGCAGCAAUGCCGCGUGAAGGAUGAAA